RNAcentral lists this ribosomal RNA (476 nucleotides) under uncultured bacterium. RNAcentral describes it as "bacterial SSU rRNA". It matches the Rfam family "Bacterial small subunit ribosomal RNA", at positions 45 to 509 of the family's 1533-position model. The record is from RNAcentral.
UACUUAACACAUGACAGUACGAACGGAAGGUUAAAGGGAGGUUAAGUUUUCGGAUGGAAUCUAACUUUUAACUUAGGUGGGGGGACGGGUGAGUAACGCGUGGGUAACCUGCCUCACACUUGGGGGGUAACAGAUAAGAAAUAUCUGCUAAAACCGCAUAAGCGCACGAGGUCGCAUGACCAUGUGUGAAAAACUCCGGUGGUGUGAGAUGGACCCGCGUCUGAUUAGGCAGUUGGCGGGGUAGAGGCCCACCAAACCGACGAUCAGUAGCCGGCCUGAGAGGGUGAACGGCCACAUUGGGACUGAGACACGGCCCAAACUCCUACGGGGAGGCAGCAGUGGGGAAUAUUGCACAAUGGGGGAAACCCUGAUGCAGCGACGCCGCGUGAGUGAAGAAGUAAUUCGUUAUGUAAAGCUCUAUCAGCAGGGAAGAAAGUGACGGUACCUGAGUAAGAAGCCCCGGCUAACUACGUGCC